GACAGAGGGUGCAAACGUUGUUCGGAAUUACUGGGCGUAAAGCGUGUGUAGGCGGCCAUGUAAGUCGGGUGUGAAAGCCCCAGGCUCAACCUGGGAAGUGCACUCGAUACUGCGUGGCUUGAGUAUCGGAGAGGUUGGUGGAAUUCUCGGUGUAGAGGUGAAAUUCGUAGAUAUCGAGAGGAACACCGGUGGCGAAGGCGGCCAACUGGACGAAUACUGACGCUGAGACACGAAAGCGUGGGGAGCAAACAGG
RNAcentral lists this ribosomal RNA (253 nucleotides) under uncultured bacterium. RNAcentral's name for it is "partial 16S ribosomal RNA". It matches the Rfam family "Bacterial small subunit ribosomal RNA", at positions 524 to 776 of the family's 1533-position model. The record is from RNAcentral.